RNAcentral lists this long non-coding RNA (322 nucleotides) under Phascolarctos cinereus (koala). Its description in RNAcentral is "lncRNA (ENSPCIG00000013359.2)". The record is from RNAcentral. Lineage: Eukaryota; Metazoa; Chordata; Mammalia; Diprotodontia; Phascolarctidae.
UAUUUUCUCCCCCGUAAUUCUGUCUUGACACAAUAUCCUGCUGAAGGAACAAGGAGACAACUUGGCACAGGAAGAUAAAUAUUGCAGUGGGGAAAUGUCAGCUUUUUAAAUGAAAACCACUGGAGCUGAAAAAUCUACUCCCUGUGUGAUAGCAGGAAGUAUGCUAUGUAGCCAUCGAGAUUGGCAGGAAGUUGGACAGAGGGAAAAAUCAUCGGUGCUCUUCACCUUAAAACAGUAAUGAAUGAAGAAUUGAAGGGCCAAACAGACUUGGGGUUGGUGCGGAACAUGUAGAAAUGAGAUUUCAUGUAUAAAAUUGUAAGUG